AAAGCGGGGGAUUGGAAACGACCUCGCGUUAUAGGAGUGGCCGAUGUCGGAUUAGCUAGUUGGUGGGGUAAAGGCCUACCAAGGCGACGAUCCGUAGCUGGUCUGAGAGGACGACCAGCCACACUGGGACUGAGACACGGCCCAGACUCCUACGGGAGGCAGCAGUGGGGAAUUUUGGACAAUGGGGGCACCCUGAUCCAGCCAUUUCCGCGUGAGUGAAGAAGGCCUUCGGGUUGUAAAGCUCUUUUCCGCCAUUCUUU
RNAcentral lists this ribosomal RNA (260 nucleotides) under uncultured bacterium. Its description in RNAcentral is "partial 16S ribosomal RNA". It matches the Rfam family "Bacterial small subunit ribosomal RNA", at positions 202 to 449 of the family's 1533-position model. The record is from RNAcentral.